UACAGAGGUGGCAAGCGUUGUUCGGAAUUACUGGGCGUAAAGGGCGCGUAGGCGGUCUUUUAAGUCUUGUGUGAAAUCCCUCGGCUUAACUGAGGAACUGCACGGGAUACUGGAUGACUUGAGUUCGGGAGAGGGAAGCGGAAUUCCGGGUGUAGCGGUGAAAUGCGUAGAUAUCCGGAGGAACACCGGUGGCGAAGGCGGCUUCCUGGACCGACACUGACGCUGAGGCGCGAUAGCGUGGGGAGCAAACAGG
RNAcentral lists this ribosomal RNA (253 nucleotides) under uncultured bacterium. Its description in RNAcentral is "partial 16S ribosomal RNA". It matches the Rfam family "Bacterial small subunit ribosomal RNA", at positions 524 to 776 of the family's 1533-position model. The record is from RNAcentral.